UUUUAUGGAGAGUUUGAUCCUGGCUCAGGAUGAACGCUGGCGGCGUGCCUAAUACAUGCAAGUCGAGCGAACGGACGAGAAGCUUGCUUCUCUGAUGUUAGCGGCGGACGGGUGAGUAACACGUGGAUAACCUACCUAUAAGACUGGGAUAACUUCGGGAAACCGGAGCUAAUACCGGAUAAUAUUUUGAACCGCAUGGUUCAAAAGUGAAAGACGGUCUUGCUGUCACUUAUAGAUGGAUCCGCGCUGCAUUAGCUAGUUGGUAAGGUAACGGCUUACCAAGGCAACGAUGCAUAGCCGACCUGAGAGGGUGAUCGGCCACACUGGAACUGAGACACGGUCCAGACUCCUACGGGAGGCAGCAGUAGGGAAUCUUCCGCAAUGGGCGAAAGCCUGACGGAGCAACGCCGCGUGAGUGAUGAAGGUCUUCGGAUCGUAAAACUCUGUUAUUAGGGAAGAACAUAUGUGUAAGUAACUGUGCACAUCUUGACGGUACCUAAUCAGAAAGCCACGGCUAACUACGUGCCAGCAGCCGCGGUAAUACGUAGGUGGCAAGCGUUAUCCGGAAUUAUUGGGCGUAAAGCGCGCGUAGGCGGUUUUUUAAGUCUGAUGUGAAAGCCCACGGCUCAACCGUGGAGGGUCAUUGGAAACUGGAAAACUUGAGUGCAGAAGAGGAAAGUGGAAUUCCAUGUGUAGCGGUGAAAUGCGCAGAGAUAUGGAGGAACACCAGUGGCGAAGGCGACUUUCUGGUCUGUAACUGACGCUGAUGUGCGAAAGCGUGGGGAUCAAACAGGAUUAGAUACCCUGGUAGUCCACGCCGUAAACGAUGAGUGCUAAGUGUUAGGGGGUUUCCGCCCCUUAGUGCUGCAGCUAACGCAUUAAGCACUCCGCCUGGGGAGUACGGCCGCAAGGCUGAAACUCAAAGGAAUUGACGGGGGCCCGCACAAGCGGUGGAGCAUGUGGUUUAAUUCGAAGCAACGCGAAGAACCUUACCAGGUCUUGACAUCCUCUGACAACCCUAGAGAUAGGGCUUCUCCUUCGGGAGCAGAGUGACAGGUGGUGCAUGGUUGUCGUCAGCUCGUGUCGUGAGAUGUUGGGUUAAGUCCCGCAACGAGCGCAACCCUUGAUCUUAGUUGCCAUCAUUCAGUUGGGCACUCUAAGGUGACUGCCGGUGACAAACCGGAGGAAGGUGGGGAUGACGUCAAAUCAUCAUGCCCCUUAUGAUUUGGGCUACACACGUGCUACAAUGGACAAUACAAAGGGCAGCGAAACCGCGAGGUCAAGCAAAUCCCAUAAAGUUGUUCUCAGUUCGGAUUGUAGUCUGCAACUCGACUACAUGAAGCUGGAAUCGCUAGUAAUCGUAGAUCAGCAUGCUACGGUGAAUACGUUCCCGGGUCUUGUACACACCGCCCGUCACACCACGAGAGUUUGUAACACCCGAAGCCGGUGGAGUAACCUUUUAGGAGCUAGCCGUCGAAGGUGGGACAAAUGAUUGGGGUGAAGUCGUAACAAGGUAGCCGUAUCGGAAGGUGCGGCUGGAUCACCUCCUUUCUAA
RNAcentral lists this ribosomal RNA (1555 nucleotides) under Staphylococcus aureus. Its description in RNAcentral is "bacterial SSU rRNA". It matches the Rfam family "Bacterial small subunit ribosomal RNA". Lineage: Bacteria; Bacillati; Bacillota; Bacilli; Caryophanales; Staphylococcaceae. The record is from RNAcentral.